GGUUUCACCACGUUGGCCAGGCCAGUCUCAAACUCCUGACAUCAAGUGAUCUUCCCGCCUCGGCCUCCCAGAGUGCUGAGAUGACAGAUGUGAACCCAUGCCUGGCCAGGAAUUUUGUUUUUUAGAAAGGCUUUCUACUAAUGGAAUUCCUGGCCUUGAGAGGAUAUUACUUUCGAAGGAAAGGAUUUUUCUGUUAUUUAAAGAACCACCUAAGCUGAAGAUUCCCUUGAGAACAAGUACUGUCCUGUGGUUUCAUGACCUUUCUUCCAUUUGUGGUUCUUGUGAAGUGGAAUUUAAAUGACAUCUUAUCAAGAUGGAUAAACCCUAGUUUCCCAGUGCUGGAAUAUAGAAAAUGAUGGACAAGUAAAUCCCACUCAGCACCCAUAGUCCAGGCAUGGGGACCUCAACACACCUGAGCCCCAGACAUCACCUUUCAUUAAUGUCUUUUUGUCACUUCUAGCUGGACCUACCAUGAAAGACUUCUGAAUCCAGGAAGAGAGACUGACUGGGCAACAUGUUAUUCAGAUGGGGUCUUCUUAUGUUGCCCAGGCUGGUCUCAAAUUCCUAGGCUCAGGUGAUUCCACCCACCUCUGCCUCCCAAAGUGCUGGGAUUACAGGCAUGAGCCAGCGCAUCUGGCCACCUUAUUUUCUAUUACUGGCCCAAUGUAAUGGCUCCAUCUCAGGAACAGCCAAUGAAAGAGAUGCACAGGACAAGAGAUGGGGCCUCAGUAUGUUGCCACGGCUGACCUUGAACUCCUACACUCAAGGGAUUUUCCUGACCUGGCCUCCCAAAGUAUUGGUAUUACAGGCAUGAGCCAUUGUGCCCACCGUCUCUGGUUCUUAACCUUCUGCCUCCCUCGUCCAGUUUUAAAGAAUGUGUGUAAUUACAUGGGCUCUCCUAGAUACUCCAGGAUAAUCUUGUUUUAAGGUCAGCUGACGAGCAACAUUAAUUUUAUCUGCACUCUUAAUUCCACCUUUCUAUGUAAUUGUGCUGUGUAACAUAGGACAUGAGCAAUUGGUGGGGGUGGGGGUUAUUACUUUGGCCACCACAGUAACUAUUUUAUGCCAGGUACUCAGCUAAGCACUGGUGAAUUAAGCAUGAAUAACACACACUCCCUAAUCUCCAUCCAUUCUUGGGAGGAGCACCUCACCUGCCAUGCUCCUGAGAAUCUGGGGAGUCAAAGAAGUCUUCCAUGAGGAGGUGAUGCCAAAGCGGACAAGUGACAGAGGAGUCAAAGCUAGCUAGGAAGAGAGUAGAGCUUUAAGGGGAAACAUAUUAUAAGCAGAGGAUAUCACCCACUUCAGAGACUCCCAGAGGAGAAAGAGUUUGCAUUGAAGGGGCAGAUGAGGCUCAGUUGGACUCCACAGCAGAUGAAAUGGAGAGGGGCAAGCAGUGAGGCUGCCUUGCAAGGCAGGGCAGAGCAGGGGCUGUUAAGGAGUUUGGACUUAAUCCCUGAGGCAAGGAGAAGUGAUGUAAAUGGGGGAGUAACAUGAUGAGAUUCAUGGAUUAGAGACAUGGCUCAGGCUGCUGUAGAGAAGGCACCAGGGAGAGCGGAUGGCUCAAUGGGUGUGCAGGAGACCUCUCACUGAGUUUAGGGAGAGGUUUUUUAAACAGAAGAAGUUUGAGUAAUUUAAAUGAUGAUGGGAAGGAGCUAAAAGUGGGGGAUAGGUUAAAGAUACAGGAAAGUGGGAGGAAGAACUGACAAGUGAGGUUCCAGAGAGGGCAGGAGAAGAGGAGAUUCUCACAGGGGGAUUAACACUUUCUUUUCUUUUUUCUUUCUGAGACAGAGUCUCACUCUGUCACCCAGGCUGGAGUGCAGUGGCACAAUCUUGGCUCAUUGUAGUGCAGACUUCCCAGGCUUAAGGGGUUCUCCCACCCCAGACUCCCAAGUAGCUGGAACUACGGGUGUGCACCACCACCACACCUGGCUAAUGUUUCUUUUUUUGGUAGACACAGAGUCUCACUAUUUUGUGCUGAUUGGUCUCCAACUCCUGGCCUCAAGUGAUCCUCCUGCCUAGGCUUCCCAAAUUGCUGGGAUUACAGGCAUGAGCCACAAUGCCUGGCCUCUGAUAGUUCUGUAUUCUCUAGAGUUGUCUUUACUUUGUGCUAGUGUGUCCCUCAUUGUGCUAAUCCUCUGUAAAAAU
This is a long non-coding RNA of Pongo pygmaeus (Bornean orangutan), 2145 nucleotides long. RefSeq lists it as uncharacterized. The transcript has 5 exons. The record is from RefSeq and is a predicted model, not a curated record. NCBI's taxonomy places the organism in Eukaryota, Metazoa, Chordata, Mammalia, Primates, Hominidae.